AAGGGAUUAUCAUUCUUUAAGAAAUGCUUGCAACGUCUUACAACGAAUGGCUGAGCAAAAUCAUUUCAAAGUAUAACUCUCUAAAAACUCUUAAUUAAAAGGUAAAUUGUGUUGUUUUCUCAUACACAACAUUAUUAUCAAUUUCAUGUAAGCUUGCUGGCUUCAUGCGUGUUGCUAAUUUGACCGUCUGACAUGAAAAUAACCGUGAAUUACAAAGGUAGCAAAAUGAGUUUCAGGCUACAGAGUUUCAAGCUUCUUCCAGGCCGUUAGGGGGCGAAAUGUGCUACUGUGUUGACUGCCAAGCCAAGAUAUUUGCAGGACGCACAAAACGAAGAGGCAGCUAUGUCUGAAGCCAUUUGGAGGAGAAGUAGCCACGCUGUAACACCAGCUGUUCGUCUGGUAAGAUAACCAUCCACAAAUUUCACUGCAGCCUCAUUAAUAUAACUCGGCAUGUUUCCUACUGCUGAAUAAUCGAAUACAGGGACUUUUAACCUUCAUAGUACUAAAACAAAAGAUGACACCUUUAUUCAUUGCUGAGACGAACCAUUGCUUCAGAUUUUAGUCUGUAAAUGUUAUUCACACAUUAACUAAAAGCUACUUGUUGAUACACUCUCUGUGAAAAUAUAACUUAUUGUUUUAUAUAAUUUGAGCCGAAUUAAACUCUGUGACAUGUGGCCACAACUAUGAAAGAGUUGGUCUCUUACAUUUUUUUUUUUGUUGUUGUUGUUUUUGGUGUUGCGUUAAGAGACAUUAAAUAAUAUCUAUUUAAAAUCAGAUUUGCAUCUCAGCCGUCACUCAGUUUGCUCAUAUUCAGCAUAAAUCAGUCUGAUAUUCAGCAUAACUCUGGGCCUUGUGACCACGUGGUUAGCCUGCCUGGUUCAUUAGCAUGUAGCAGACACUGUAACGUGAGCAGAAGUGCUGAGGGUUUCAGGAAAAUGUAAACGAUUGAUGUCUAAAUCUCAAACACGCGAUUUCUAACCUCGAGUUGAGGAAAGUAACUGCAUUGUGCUGUCUCUUUCCUGAUGACUUGCACUGGGCUCUGACCUCUUAUGGAGACUACGUGCAUCUUUGGCCCUGACAAGCCAACGUGUCUGAAAAGAAACUGAUUAAAGCUGUUCAGAAGGAAGGACCGGUUAUUAUGUCAACACUAACUUGUGCUUAUUUCUCCUACAGCUUACCCAAAAGAAGUAAAACCUCCAAAUUCUGCAUUGAUUCAGUAAGGUAUGUCAGGAUCUUUGAACCCUCGUAUUUAUCACUUUAUCCUAAAGCAACAGAGCUCUUCUUCUGUGCACAUUUUAGAUAUCUGUAGCUUAAUCUCAUGGUGGUUACUUGUUGAGGAUUAGCAUUUAUAGAAGUAAAAUGUGUGUAAUUUGUGACCACUGGAGGGCAGAGGAUGGAUGCAGUUAUACCAGACACACCAACACUUGCAGAUAAAUGUAAAAAGAAAUUCCAGUUUCGUCCCUCUCCCCUGAUGACUCGCACUGGGCUCUGAGUUUUUAUGGAGACAACGUGCAUCUUUGGCCCUGACAAGCCAAAGUUUCUGAGGAGAAGAUCUGCAACACUAGAGCUGAUCCAAGCUGCUUCAGAGCAGCACAAUGAAGUAGAUAGAAGUUAACAUUACAACUCAAUAACUCAAAUGUUUGUUUUAUAGGUGUUUGAGGGUUGUAGCUGCUCAUGGACCAGACUUGAAGCAGGUUUGUAUGAUUGUAAUGCUUCACUCCGCACAUGUUGAUCUCUUGUGAUGUCUUGCACUGGGCUCAGAAAAUCAGUGAUGACAGAAGUGCAGCUCUACCCCUGACAAGGCAGAGUCUGAGGAGAUGACUGUUGAUAAAAAUAUCCUUAAAGCAAGUAGGAUCCUUUUUCAGUUGAGCAGUUUUGACUGACUGCUGUGUUUUUUCUUUUUUCAGGUACUAGUCCUUCAACAGACAAGUCUGCAAAUUUGUUUUAAACGUAAGUUUGUGUCACAUAGAUUUAGUUGUAUUCUGUAAUCACUCUGAUUAAGCCAAUAAAACCUUAGUAUUUGAACUCUCUUGUUUUUGUCUUUAUUGAUAUGACCAGUGCAUCAUUUGACGUAAUAACUUGCUACCACUCUACUGGGUUACCAAUAGAUGAUAGAAUCUGAUAUUAUGUACUGUUUGAUAAAAAAAGAUGGCAUUACCAUUGUUUUGAUUAAAAAAAAAAAACAUACAGGUACAUCCCAACAGAUUGGAAUCUGUUGCUUUCCAUCUGCUUUCGUAGUGAUUUUACAUAAACAAGUUCAAACCCAAGACUAAGUGAGUCAGUCAACUUUUUUUUUUUUUUUCAUCAAGUGGACUUCACUGUAGCUUAAAUUCAUUUGAUUGAUCCUUGGAAAUAUUUUGAAGUACUGUUUUCUGAUGCA
RNAcentral lists this long non-coding RNA (2380 nucleotides) under Xyrichtys novacula (pearly razorfish). The record is from RNAcentral. Lineage: Eukaryota; Metazoa; Chordata; Actinopteri; Labriformes; Labridae.